Molecule: ribosomal RNA, 670 nt
Filed under: uncultured bacterium
Lineage: Bacteria
Description: bacterial SSU rRNA
Rfam family: Bacterial small subunit ribosomal RNA
Source: RNAcentral
AAUACCGCAUAAGCGCACGGAGCCGCAUGGCUUAGUGUGAAAAACUCCGGUGGUGUAAGAUGGAUCCGCGUCUGAUUAGCUGGUUGGCGGGGUAGAAGCCCACCAAGGCGACGAUCAGUAGCCGGCCUGAGAGGGUGAACGGCCACAUUGGGACUGAGACACGGCCCAAACUCCUACGGGAGGCAGCAGUGGGGAAUAUUGCACAAUGGGGGAAACCCUGAUGCAGCAACGCCGCGUGAGUGAAGAAGUCAUUCGUGAUGUAAAGCUCUAUCAGCAGGGAAGAAAAUGACGGUACCUGAGUAAGAAGCCCCGGCUAACUACGUGCCAGCAGCCGCGGUAAUACGUAGGGGGCAAGCGUUAUCCGGAUUUACCGGGUGUAAAGGGAGCGUAGACGGCCAGACAAGUCUGAAGUGAAAAUCCAGCGCUUAACGUUGGAAGUGCUUUGGAAACUGCCGGGCUAGAGUGCAGGAGGGGCAGGCGGAAUUCCUAGUGUAGCGGUGAAAUGCGUAGAUAUUAGGAGGAACACCAGUGGCGAAGGCGGCCUGCUGGACUGCAACUGACGUUGAGGCUCGAAGGCGUGGGGAGCAAACAGGAUUAGAUACCCUGGUAGUCCACGCGGUAAACGAUGAUUACUAGGUGUCGGGGGGCUAGAGCCCUUCGGUGCCGUCGC